Molecule: ribosomal RNA, 472 nt
Filed under: uncultured bacterium
Lineage: Bacteria
Description: partial 16S ribosomal RNA
Rfam family: Bacterial small subunit ribosomal RNA
Source: RNAcentral
AGUGAACGCUGGCGGUAGGCCUAACACAUGCAAGUCGAACGGCAGCACAGUAAGAGCUUGCUCUUACGGGUGGCGAGUGGCGGACGGGUGAGGAAUACAUCGGAAUCUACUUUUUCGUGGGGGAUAACGUAGGGAAACUUACGCUAAUACCGCAUACGACCUACGGGUGAAAGCAGGGGAUCUUCGGACCUUGCGCGAGUGGAUGAGCCGAUGUGUGAUUAGCUGGUUGGCGGGGUAGAGGCCCACCAAGGCGACGAUGGGUAGCCGGCCUGAGAGGGUGGCCGGCAACAGGGGGACUGAGAGACGGGCCAGACUGAUACGGGAGGCAGCAGUGGGGAAUAUUGCACAAUGGGCGGAAGCAUGAUGCAGCAACGCCGCGUGCGGGAUGACGGCCUGCGGGUUGUAAACCGCUGUCGCCGGUGACGAAGCGUGAGUGACGGUAAUGGGUAAAGAAGCACCGGCUAACUACGUG